Molecule: long non-coding RNA, 1866 nt
Filed under: Sus scrofa (pig)
Lineage: Eukaryota; Metazoa; Chordata; Mammalia; Artiodactyla; Suidae
Description: lncRNA (ENSSSCG00040014009.1)
Source: RNAcentral
AGCCGCUUAGGCUGCUGCUCUGCUGUUCCGUGCUGAUCGGAAUCAGCCCACAGCCGCUUAGGAGGCAAAGCUGGAAGGAAUGUUUAUCGUUUAUCUGGGGCCAAGAGAGGGACGGGCUGGAGCCCCCACAGCCAGAGCCGCGUGCCUGGGAAGGCCCAUCUCAUGUGCGUGUGUGCGUGCGUGCUGCGUGUGUGUGCGUGUGCGCUGACUGAGGCCACGUUGCCUCUCCGCGGGCCCCGCCAGAGCUGGGACAGCUGCUGAUUCCGAACACACGUGUGUUUGUCGGGGGGCCUUAGAGCCAGCCCGGGCGGGGCCGUCGGUGAAGGGCCCCGUCCACCACCGGACUCCCAGCCUCUGAUGCCGCCUCAAACGCGUCCCUACCGUGGCCAUCAAUCCAGCAGAGCUGCCCACCGCAGACCCAGGCGUCUGAGCCUCGAGAACACCUCCCCGAGGGCUGCGGAACUGCCUCCAGGCCCUGCAGCUUGGAGAGGAGCAGGCCUCGCCAGUUCUCCCAGUCCAGACCCCAGGCUCUUAAUGACACUCGGACGCCCUACACAGGGCGACACCCAAGCCUUCCCGUCUCCCCACUCCCUGUGAGUCACCCUGGCCGCUGCCAAGAAGCAGGUUUCACAGCGCUGGCGUCUGGGGACGGCAGCAGCAGGCCCACCCCGGCCCCAGGCCGGCUGGCCUGGGUGACACACACAACGGUUCAGAAGUACAGGACAGGACAAGAUGAGGAAAGCUCGGAGAGACCCUUCGGGCCCAGGAGUCAGGGCCUCUGUGACCCGGUGGCCUCGAGCACAGCUGUCACUCGUUCGCCACAUUUGCAGUCGCUGAAAAGGCCUCAGCGAGGGAGACGGCGUUGAACAAACUCCUAGUCCUAGUCGUGCGGCCAAGAAGACUCCUUAGGAACAAAGGAGCAGAGAGGGACGAGGUGAGGGGUCACGGAGGGCCUUGCCCCCGAGGUGACGUUUAAGCGGAGAUGCGGAGGAGGAGCUGGUGCCAGUGUCACUGAGAGAGGAACACACCAGGCUUCAGGGCCGGUCCGCCAGGCUACAGUGUCCCUGAGAAAGGGGCAGAGGGAGCUCCGGUCAUGGCUCGGGGUUAACGAACCCGACUAGGAUCCAUGAGGAAGUGGGUUCGAUCCCUGGCCUCGCCCUGUGUGUUGAGGAUCUGGCGUUGCCAUGAGCUGGGGUGUGGGUGGCACGCAGAUGCGGCCUGGAUCCUGCGUUGCUGUGGCUGUGGUGUAGGCCGGCAGCUGCAGCUCCGAUUUGACCCCUAGCCUGGGAACCUCCAUACGCCUCGGGUGCGAACAUAAAAAGACAAAAGACAAAAAAGAGAGAGAGAAAGGGGCAGGGAGGAACCCGCCAGGCUACAGGGCCGUGGGUCCUCCCUGGUGAGGAGCAAAGCCUGGUUAGGGCCAUGAGGUCAAGGAGCCCCCGGGACCUUAGAGAGGGCCCUUAACGCCCCCACACUUCAGUGUCAAAAUCGCUGAUUUGCAAGAUACUCAUGAGGAUUUAAUUAUACGGCGCCCCGCAUGUCUCAGGGCCUUAGGCGUAGGCACGCAGUAAAUGGCAGCAGAGUGUCUUGUAAUGCCCUGUGCGCGUAGCAUUUAUAACCACGGGUUUGAUGACAUUUUAUAACCCGCUUCUCUUUGUUUGUCUUUCCCCUCCCUCUCUCCCCACCCCUCUCUCUCUCUCUCUCUCUCUCUCUCUCUCUCUCUUUCUCUCUUCUUUCUCAGCCACACCUGCUGCAUAUGGAAGUUCCCAGGCCAAGGACGGAAUCCGAGCCAGGGCUGCAACUCACACCACAGCUGCAGCAAAGCCAGAUGCUUAACUCGCUGCUUCAGGCCAGGGAUGGAACCAG